CCAAAGAUGGCGGGCCUCUGUGCCCCCGUCCCCAACCCAUUGUUGACCAAAACCCUUUUGCCUCGGGGGCCGAGCGUCCGCCGCCGCCCCCGGAGGACCAUUCAACGCUGUCUCUUUGCGUCGGAGUAAUUGAUUAAAUAAAUGA
RNAcentral lists this unclassified non-coding RNA (145 nucleotides) under uncultured fungus. Its description in RNAcentral is "sequence contains ITS1, 5.8S rRNA gene". RNAcentral also lists the same sequence under 1 other name. Lineage: Eukaryota; Fungi. The record is from RNAcentral.